AUACGUAGGUGACAAGCGUUAUCCGGAUUUACUGGGUGUAAAGGGCGUGUAGGCGGAGAUGCAAGUCAGGAGUGAAAUCUAGGGGCUCAACCCCUAAACUGCUUUUGAAACUGUAUCCCUUGAGUAUCGGAGAGGCAGGCGGAAUUUCUAGUGUAGCGGGUAAAUGCGUAGAUAUUAGGAGGAACACCAGUGGCGAAGGCGGCCUGCUGGACGACAACUGACGCUGAGGCGCGAAAGCGUGGGGAGCAAACAGGAUUAGAUACCCUGGUAGUCCACGCUGUAAACGAUGAAUACUAGGUGUGGGGGGACUGACCCCCUCCGUGCCGCAGUUAACACAAUAAGUAUUCCACCUGGGGAGUACGAUCGCAAGAUUGAAACUUAAAGGAAUUGACGGGG
Molecule: ribosomal RNA, 396 nt
Filed under: uncultured bacterium
Lineage: Bacteria
Description: partial 16S ribosomal RNA
Rfam family: Bacterial small subunit ribosomal RNA
Source: RNAcentral